UGGGAAUUGUAGUAAAAAGAAAAAUUCCUUUCCUGGCUUGUAGAAGUUUGCAGCAGAAAGAAAUAUCAUUAAAAAAUUUUCUACCGGUCUUCUAGUAAUGUGCUAUCUUUUCAAUGCAUUGUAACGUUUUAAAACAAAAGUAUAUGACUUCUGCUGCUUACUAAAAGCACCAUUUGAUACUGUGAGAGGAAGAGUUCUUAAGCAUAUGUAGGCUUUAGUCUUUGUUAAAAUGUGAUGUGUUAGCUUAAUUUGAACAUAGUUUUCCUUGAAGCCAAAUCUUAAAUCCCUGGUGACAGAAUCUGAGAGAGAAGUACAGUCCUUGAGACUGGGAGUAGUGAGAAAAGUACAAAGGUGGAAAACAAUUUGGCAGAAAAUUACAAAACAAGAUACAGACAGUCAGUCACAAAAGAUGAGGGAGAGAAGUUGAAAAAGAAGUUAAGCAUCAAGUAUAAUCAGAUGGAAAGUCAAAGAUAGACCUUCAUAGUUUAAACAAGUCAAAGCCCAGGAUAGUGCUUCUGGGAUUCCUUGGAGGAAAGGUUUAAAAUGAAGAUUUUCUCAAGUGAUUUGUACCUUUAGAGGAGUUUCCAAAAAACCUUGAAAGAACAGAAUGAGUAAAGCCAUGGAUUCUGUUGCUCAUUGCUCAAAAUGAACAAGUGAGAUGAUCAGUUUUCUGUCUGGAGAAUGGAACCAGGAUAUAAAGAUGGAUUGCUACCAGUACACUAACUGGCUGGUUGACAGUGAAUUGGACAAGAUCUUCUUCUGGAAGUGUCUAUUUCCAUGGCCAUUUGUAAGAUUCCUGGAUCAAUCCUAUUCAGCAGCA
RNAcentral lists this long non-coding RNA (820 nucleotides) under Coturnix japonica (Japanese quail). Its description in RNAcentral is "lncRNA (ENSCJPG00005007243.1)". Lineage: Eukaryota; Metazoa; Chordata; Aves; Galliformes; Phasianidae. The record is from RNAcentral.